Molecule: small nuclear RNA, 107 nt
Organism: Ochotona curzoniae (black-lipped pika)
Lineage: Eukaryota; Metazoa; Chordata; Mammalia; Lagomorpha; Ochotonidae
Source: RefSeq, a predicted model, not a curated record
GUGCUUGCCUCGGUAGCACAUAUACUAAAAUUGGAAUGAUACAGAGAAGAUUAGCAUGGUCCCAGCACAAGGAGGUUCAUUCUUUCCAUGAGCUUUUUGAAGAACUG